AGUCGAACGGUGAAGGCGGAGCUUGCUCUGCUGGAUCAGUGGCGAACGGGUGAGUAACACGUGAGCAAUCUGCCCCUGACUCUGGGAUAAGCGCUGGAAACGGCGUCUAAUACUGGAUACGAGCUGCGAAGGCAUCUUCAGCAGCUGGAAAGAAUUUCGGUCAGGGAUGAGCUCGCGGCCUAUCAGCUUGUUGGUGAGGUAAUGGCUCACCAAGGCGUCGACGGGUAGCCGGCCUGAGAGGGUGACCGGCCACACUGGGACUGAGACACGGCCCAGACUCCUACGGGAGGCAGCAGUGGGGAAUAUUGCACAAUGGGCGAAAGCCUGAUGCAGCAACGCCGCGUGAGGGACGACGGCCUUCGGGUUGUAAACCUCUUUUAGCAGGGAAGAAGCGAAAGUGACGGUACCUGCAGAAAAAGCGCCGGCUAACUACGUGCCAGCAGCCGCGGUAAUACGUAGGGCGCAAGCGUUAUCCGGAAUUAUUGGGCGUAAAGAGCUCGUAGGCGGUUUGUCGCGUCUGCUGUGAAACCCCGAGGCUCAACCUCGGGCCUGCAGUGGGUACGGGCAGACUAGAGUGCGGUAGAGGAGAUUGGAAUUCCUGGUGUAGCGGUGGAAUGCGCAGAUAUCAGGAGGAACACCGAUGGCGAAGGCAGAUCUCUGGGCCGUAACUGACGCUGAGGAGCGAAAGGGUGGGGAGCAAACAGGCUUAGAUACCCUGGUAGUCCACCCCGUAAACGUUGGGAACUAGUUGUGGGGUCCAUUCCACGGAUUCCGUGACGCAGCUAACGCAUUAAGUUCCCCGCCUGGGGAGUACGGCCGCAAGGCUAAAACUCAAAGGAAUUGACGGGGACCCGCACAAGCGGCGGAGCAUGCGGAUUAAUUCGAUGCAACGCGAAGAACCUUACCAAGGCUUGACAUGUACGAGAACG
This 929-nucleotide ribosomal RNA is filed under the name Microbacterium sp. 6PNM-19. RNAcentral describes it as "bacterial SSU rRNA". It matches the Rfam family "Bacterial small subunit ribosomal RNA", at positions 60 to 997 of the family's 1533-position model. Lineage: Bacteria; Bacillati; Actinomycetota; Actinomycetes; Micrococcales; Microbacteriaceae. The record is from RNAcentral.